This is a long non-coding RNA of Acipenser ruthenus (sterlet), 3329 nucleotides long. RefSeq lists it as uncharacterized. The record is from RefSeq and is a predicted model, not a curated record. The transcript is spliced from 6 exons. NCBI's taxonomy places the organism in Eukaryota, Metazoa, Chordata, Actinopteri, Acipenseriformes, Acipenseridae.
GACAAAAUGGAGAGGGAGAACUGAGGAAGAGAGUUUGGAGAGACAGCUCGCCAAACCUUAGUCAGUAUUGUAGUCAGACUACAAUACUUGGUACCAAUAGGCACUGUAACAUUUGUGUAUUUUUGUUAUGAAAAGUAUUUUAUUGAGGUAAUUUCUGGAAAAUAUUUGGUAUGUUAUACACACACAAAACAUAAAUGUAUUACUUUUACUUUAAGUAUAUUUCCAGCCGCUGGCGAAGAACAACUUCGAAAUAGUGAGAUAAUGGAACGUUUCUGGAUCUCAUCACUUGAAGACUCUCUGCGCAAGGAGUCUGACGCACGUGUGCAGAGAACGAUGCAUAUUGUAAAACGAGAUUCAAGAGGAUUUUAUGCAAAAUCACUUGACAUGUCUUAUGGAGAAUGGAACUGGCACAUUUGUAGCUAUCAAAAAAAGAGGGGAAAAUCACUUUCAGUGGCAAUGUGAAAGGUCCAAUAAACCAAAAGGUAAAUCCUCAGGAGCACCUUCAAUAACUCGUGCCAAUAGAUGUGGAGCGUACGUUUCUUUUACAUUUGUGAGCAACAAUUCUACACAUGGGUGCAUUAUGCGUUUAAUGCAAGAGCACUCUGGCCAUGAUCUAGAAGACCCUAAGGAGAAUGCAGUGAAUCGUAUUGAUGAAGAACUAAUGGGUUACAUUCAUAUGUGCAUAUCCCAGGGGCUAUUAAAUGGAGAGAUCAUGCUCAAAUACAAAAAAGUGACAUCACAGACAGAAGAUUCUAUGUGGCACCAGAGGACAUUAAAGUAAUAAAGAAGAGCUUUUAUGCACACACACGAAUGGAUGGAAAUGACUGCAUAAGUGUUGACAAACUGAUUAAGUCCAAUUUGCAGGAUAAUGUUGUGUACUAUCAGCCUCUCUCUCACGAUGAAAAGCAACCCUUGAUAAUAGUAUUUAGUUCUCAGUGGCAAAUUGAACAGUUGAAAAAGUAUGGUCCAACAAUGAUUUUCCUUGAUGCAACAUACAAAGGCAUAACUCAGUAUGGUUUUGCAUUUUAUGCUGUGCUAGUGAAGAGCAACCAAGGCCGAGGAAUACCUGUAGCAUUUUUUAUUGUGAGUGAGGAAUCCAGUGACAUCUUGUCACUGUCUGAAAAAAGUUCAGGAAGCUGUUGGAGAGUUUCAGCCAAGGCGGUACACAGAUGGAUUGUCCGACGUGAUGGAGGAUGCGGUCAGAAUCUGUCUGCAAAAAAUGAAGUGAUUAGGUUUAUGAUUGCCUUAAAACAAUGCAGUACAGCUGCCGAGUUUGAAAAGAUGUCAAAGGAAGUGUUGUCAAAAUAGACAGAGAAACUGGCAGUUCAGUAAUUUCACAGUAUCUACAGGACCAUUGGUUUCGAAAUGCAGACAUGUGGGCCAAUUUUGGACGGAGAGUUUACCACCAAGACAGUGAAACGAACAACCUUGUUGAGAGAUUUUUUUUCAGCAUGAAGUAUCAGUUUCUUCAUGGCUAUGCAAACAGACGAGUUGAUGAACUACUACUUAAUACCAAGGUGGUCACUUACUACAGGUAUCUGGAAGAUCUUCAUGGUGCUCAGAGGAUUUCUGAUUCCAAAACACAGGAUACUGCAGAAUCUGCAUUACGUAUGAAGAACAAAGGCCUCCAAAAUAAUUUUGUUUACAAAUCAGGUGGCCAUUGCACAGUGCCUUCAGAAGCAGAUAAAGCAAAAUGUUAUGCUGUGGAUUUAAUUAGCAUGAAAUGUGAAUGCGCCGUUUCUGAAAGGGGUAAUUUGUGCAAGCAUAUUGAGUUUGCAAAAAUUAUGUGCAAAGAACAGGGGAUUGAUAUUGAUGGAAUUUGAAAAGAAUUAGCCAGUUCACUAACUGAAAAGCAUUGCUAUGAGUGGGAUGGAAAACAUUUAAUUGUACAUUGUGCUGGUAGUUUUGGAGUAGUACAUGUGCAAAACCAACAGUGUACCUGUCUUGCCAAUAGUCUUGGAGAAAUAUGUGUCUGUCUAAGACUUUGAGUUAAUUGGUACACAGAACCCUAACCAAGAGGUAACUGACUGCUUUGCGAAUACCACAGCAAAUUGUCAAUCACACAAUAAACAGCUGUGUGUAAAGAAGAUGAUUUCAGACUUAAAGGAGUGGUGUGACAGCAGUGAUUAUAAGGAAUCUCCAGAGUUGAAUGCUGUAGUAAAACGGGCACACCAACUAGCAUUUGGACAGUAUAGCAUGGCCAGCAAUAAAAUAAAAAUUAUAAGGCUGCAUGCUUACAGAAAACGCAUUGAAAGAGCAAGAAGCCAUGCUAUAGACAUGCAUUCAUAUCAGCUGAAAUAACCCCUUAAUCGAGCUUUAUAUACCCAUAGACCUGAUUCCAAAUUCAAAGUCUGUUCCUUUAGAAAAAGAAUAAUUGGUAGCAGAGCAAAGAAUCAGAUACUAAAAUCGAGCUGAACGUGUGCUGUUAUGAGCCCAUGCCUUUAUUUUUGAAUUACAGAAUGCACACAAAACUGGACUAAGUAUAGAGGUUAAUUACAACCGUUAAGGACCUCAAAGGUCUCUUCAAGUAAGAGUGAAAUAGCUAUUUAUAUGUAUAGUGGCAGCAUGUUAUCAAAAAUAAAAUAUAUGUUGCAUAGUUCUAAUUGCUGAUGAUUAUGUUCUGGCCAAGUUGGUCGAUAUUUGAUAUGGUAUGUCUCCCUUUUCUCUCUUAAUCAGAUUACUUAAAUAUGCAUUAUUGUAACACUUUGUAAAUAGAAGUUGUAAAAAUAUGAUUUGUAGUAAAUAGAAUGUGCAAUCUUUAAGUAGCGAGUAGUGUAAAAGCAAAUUGUUAACAUAAAAAUCUAAGCCUGAACUGAAUUUCUUUCAAAGGGGGAACAUGUCAGGGUGUCAUUAGAGCUGAGAAGUGGGGAGGAGGGUUCUUCUGUACAGCACUUUUUUCCACAAUUGGGUCCAGUACUUUGUAUUGCUCUAUAUCAGUCUGCUGAAGCAUGUAUGUGCAGUUUUACAUUUUAAUACUGCUAAUAUUUGAACCAUAAACAAAUAAAACAAGAAACUAUAGAUAUGAGAUGUUGUACAGUACCUUUAUUUAUGUAUUUUUAUGGUACAUUUUUAAAUAUAUAUUGAAGAGGUUAUAUAGUAAAGAAAAGAAAAUGCCUUACAGAAAAUGCUAUUUUAGGUUUUCUUUGCUUAGAAUUGUUCUUAAUGUUUUGAACAAGCCCUUUUUUAAAAUAAUGAACAUAUAUGCAAAGGAUGCCUUAUUUUCAGUGUCAUCUAAAACUACACAUUCUGCAGUUUUUCUAUCUGGGAAUCAGCACAUUUUUGAAGUACAGAACUGUAAACAUCAAGCAUUUGAAAGCCCAGUCCAUGAG